RNAcentral lists this ribosomal RNA (465 nucleotides) under uncultured bacterium. Its description in RNAcentral is "partial 16S ribosomal RNA". The record is from RNAcentral.
GCACGAACUUAGCCCGUCCUUCCUCUGAGGCUAUGUCAAACAGAUGGGAGAACCCACCUGCAUUUCAUCCCCUCGGACAGCGGUUUACAACCCGAAGGCCUUCAUCCCGCACGCGGCGUCGCUCGGUCAGGCUUGCGCCCAUUGCCGAAGAUUCUCGACUGCAGCCACCCGUAGGUGUCUGGGCAGUGUCUCAGUCCCAAUGACGCGGGUCGUGCUCUCACACCCGCUACCCAUCAUCGCCUUGGUAGGCCGUUACCCUGCCAACUAGCUAAUAGGAUGUAGACUCAUCCUCAGGCGGAAUCACACCUUUGCUCUCCCGAGGUCAUCCGGUAUUACCCCGCCUCUCGGCGGGCUAUCCCGGACCUGGGGGUAGGUACCUACGCCUUACUGCCCCUUACGCCGGUUCCCCCCAUUGCUGGGGAUUCCCGCGACUUGCAUGCCUCAUCCACGCCGCCAACGUUCGUU